Branchiostoma floridae (Florida lancelet) is the source of this 1587-nucleotide long non-coding RNA. RefSeq lists it as uncharacterized. The record is from RefSeq and is a predicted model, not a curated record. Lineage: Eukaryota; Metazoa; Chordata; Leptocardii; Amphioxiformes; Branchiostomatidae. The transcript is spliced from 2 exons.
ACGGGUGCUACUUCGAACACGUCCUUGGCUGGUGGCAGAAACGGGACGACCCCCACUUUUUGUUCUUAAAGUAUGAAGACAUGAAGCAGGACCUACCUAAAGCCGUGAAGAAAAUGGCGGCGUUCAUUCAGAUCAAGCUGGAUGAUGCUUCCAUCGAGACUAUUGCGCAUGCGUGCACUUUCGCCAACAUGAAGGCCACCCUGGAUAACUCACGGUACUUAGGCAGGACUGUGAACGCUCGCAAAGGUAGAGUCAUGAGCUUCGAGUUCACAAACUUAUAGAUACCACCAUUUUCAUUACAGUAAUGAUAAUCUGUUCACAUCUCAUCUGACAUUUUGUUACGUGCUGUUUGUCUCCUACCAUUUGUUUUGCCUUUGUCAGCAGGGUUAGCCCUUUGUAAUAGUCAUAGUAUAGUUGGCUAGCCCUGGCUGUGCAUGCUGUACAGUCAAACCAAUAAAUAAAGUGGGGCUAGGAGGGAGCACAUUAACUGUACUAUUGAUAUAGGUUUUCUUUCUUUUAUGAUUUAUAUCAGUGUAAUAGUGUCAGAUGUCUUUAGGUCUCAUAAAGGCCUCAUUGUUCUGACUAUACUACAUUUGAAGGUAAGUGUAAUAAGCACGCAGUCCAUUACAUGUUAGCCCUGUACUAUCUACACUUACAAUUAUUUUCAACGUUCUUCAUUCUUAACCAUUCAUCUAAAACUAAGACGUGUCUAGUUAUGGCAUGAACAUGAUGAAUAUGUAUGGUGAUAUUUCAAACUGAUUUAGUAUCAAUUUCAGGUAUUGUUGGUGACUGGAAGACGAUGUUUACUAACGAACAAAGCAGGUUGCUCAACUCGAAAUGCAAGACAAAACUGGAGGGAACUGGACUUCAUUUUAACUUCGAAUAGUUCAAGCCUCAGUAAAUAGUACAUUUCUCGAUAGUCACGUAUGUGACAAAUGCAUGUAGAUUUUCAAACUUGCCUGUAACAUGAAGUCUGAAAACCAGGAUGUGAAUGGGGAAAAGUGCAUUAGACAAGAUGAUGGCUGUAGAUCUGGCUGGAAAAAGCUGCGUACCUGGAAAAAGCUUUUGAUACCGGUGCCUACAUUGGCCUAGGGAAGUGCUGUGGUAGGCAAUGAGAACUUCAGGUGUAGAGGAGUGGCUAGUUAGGGUUGUGCAAUCCAUCUACUAGUAUAGCCAUGCUAGGUCUAGUGUACAGGUAAAUGGCAGUUUUAGCUUUGAGUUUGACGUCAAGGUUGGUGUACACCAAGGCUCAGUUCUUAACCCACUCCUGUUCAUUAUUGUGAUGGAAGCAAUAUCACUUGGGUUAAGAGCAGGCUGUCCCUGGGAGGGUUUUAUAAAAACUUGCAUCUCAUGAAAUUGGCUCAUAAAACAGCCAAGUCCAAAACCUUCUUUUCCUAUGAUAAAUAUACUACGUUGCCAUCAUCAGGCAAUACAUACCGCAAGGAUAAGCAACUUUUUAUGUAUCACUAUGUCAGUUUGUUAAAAACAAAAACCUAAAAAUGUUUCACUAAAGUAACUAAAUCAUUUUGAUUAAAUAUACUAAAGGGCUUUUCAACAGAACUGAACAGAAUAGAAAGUAGCCUCAAA